UCUGGCGGCAGUAGCGCGGUCGUCCCACCUGACCCCAUGCCGAACUCAGAAGUGAAACGCCGUAGCGCCGAUGGUAGUGUGGGGUCUCCCCAUGCGAGAGUAGGGAACUGCCAGAC
Molecule: ribosomal RNA, 116 nt
Filed under: Escherichia coli
Lineage: Bacteria; Pseudomonadati; Pseudomonadota; Gammaproteobacteria; Enterobacterales; Enterobacteriaceae
Source: RNAcentral